CACACACACACACACGGGGGAGAGAGGCGGGUUUUUACUACCUACCGACCGACACGGCACACAGUAGAGGCUGAAAACAGGACGCUAGACUUCCAUUAUUCGGACCGAAACCACUGACACAGUCGGCACUCACCUGCUUUUUCUCUUCUCUGUUGUGUUUUCGUGGUAAAACCUCGUCUCGGUCAGCGUUUCUCCGGUGCAGCGCCCAUCCCUCACCUCUUAUCUGCCCCCCACAGUUCCCCCCGAGAGGGACAGCCUCAACUUCCACCCCGGACCCUCCACACUUCAACAACUUCAGCAAACAAGCGGCACCAGCCCUCAGGCAGGAUACUUUGUAGCCAGUGUGAUGUUAGCUCUGGCUCUAGAAGCAGGACUGACUAAAGGAGCAUGGUGAAACACCAACCCCUCCAGGUCUAUGAGCGGCAGCUGUGUUUGUCAUGUAUCACUGGGGUCUAUGGUUGCCGAUGGAAACGCUAUCAACGUUCCCAUGAUGACACGACUAAGUGGGAGCUGCUCUGGUCCCUCAUACUCCUCUUCACCUUCUGUCUGCUGCUCGUCUGGUUCUACUUUUGGUGGGAGGCACAUAAUGACUACAAUGAAUUUAACUGGUCCCUGUACAACCACUCAGGGGAGUGGAGUGAUGGCACUGUUCCCAUCCUGGCCACCACCGCUGCUGGCUUCACAUAUAUCACGUUUUUAAUGGUUUUAGCACUUUGCCAUGUUGCACUUGGGCAACAGUUGAAUUUGCACUGGCUCCAUAAGAUAGGAGUGGUUGCUGCUUUGCUCACCACCAUUGUUGGGGUAAUAUCUGUGAAUCAAACAUGGCGGCAAGAGUGGGACGUUAUCCCCAUCUCCUUGCAGGCCACAGGUCCUUUCUUGCACAUCGGGGCCCUCGCCGCAGUCACGGCACUCUCUUGGAUUGUGGCAGGACAGGUCGCCCGAGCAGAGAAACUCAUGUUCCAGGUGGUGGUCGUCCUGCUGUAUCUCGGCGUGUUGAUGGGACUCUACGUGAUGCCCCUGUACAUCACCUCCCCCUGUAUCAUGGACCCAAGCAACCUAAAACCACGCCCUGAUGUGAUUGGCCACCACGGAGCAGCCAUGAUUGCGCCAGAGAACACGUUUUGGUCUUUCCAGCAAUCUCUGCAAAUGAACGUCACUGGACUGGAGGCUGACGUAGCUAUCAGUGUUGACGGCGUGCCCUUCUUGAUGCACGAUCUCACCCUGCGGAGGACCACAAACGUGGACAAAGUUUUUCCAGACAGGCAGAUGGAGGAAGCCGCAUUCUUUAACUGGACAGACCUGCAGCAGCUCAAUGCAGGAGAGUGGUUCUUCAAGGACGACCCCUUCAGGACGGCAUAUACUCUGUCCCAGCGUGAAGAGAAUAAGAUCAGGGCUCAGAAAGUGUGCAGCCUAGAUCAGCUUCUAAACCUGGCCUCCUCCCACAACACCUCAGUGGUUUUCAGCCUACGAAGACCUCCUCCUCAACACCCCUGCUACGACACCUGGAUCAAUGAUACUCUCGACGCAGUGCUGCAGUCUGGGAUUCCUCAAAACCUGGUGAUGUGGACUCCUGAUGAGGACAGAGCUCAGGUAAGACAGCUAGCACCUGGUCUGAUCCAGACGUCAGUAGUGAAACAGACGCCCCGACGACUGCAGCAGUCGGGCAUCAGCAGGCUUCUCCUCAGAUACAACCAAGCCAGCACAAGUGAAAUCAGAAACUUCUCAGAAACCCACAUCAACCUCACUCUGUACACCGUCAAUGAACCGUGGCUGUACUCGGUGCUGUGGUGCAGCGGGGUGCCUUCAGUCUCCUCCGAGGCCCCACAUAUCCUCAGGAAGGUGCCUUAUCCAAUCUGGCUCAUGAGGCCAAAUGAAUACUGCCUGAUGUGGGUGUUUGCAGACCUCCUCUCCCUCGCUGCCGUCACCGGGAUCUUCAUUUUCCAGAACUAUCACAUGAUCAGGUAUCGGACGAGCGGCAUGCGCAGCUACAAUCCUGAACAGAUCAUGCUGAGCGCCUCGGUCCGGACCUCCACCCGGGACGUCAAUGUCAUGAAGGAGAAACUCAUCUUCUCUGACCAACCCCAGUAGCGUCCACUCUGCUCCAUCCUUUGUUGGCGUGUCAUCUCCACCAGCCCCACGUGACUUCUUCCAUACCUGCAUAUGUCAAAUGCAGCCAUUGCAGCAUCCCACCCUUUUGCCCCAUUCCUCUUCAUCCAUCCAUCCAUCCAUCCACUCAUCCACUCAUCAUCCCUUCAUCGCCCAUCCUCCCCCACAAUCCUCCCGCUGGAGACAUCGUAGUGUAGGAGAGCUUAUAGGCCCCCGGUCUAAACACCCUCUAGGGCUGGGGGUCCAAGAGGUGAGAGACGGCGCUGAGGAGGAGCUGUACGGGGACAGCAGCUACGACUACUACAACAGCCAGGGCAUCAGUCAGUGAUUUACUCCGUCUGCUCUCAGGAGCUGGAAACCACACUCCACAUUCACGUCCUUUUGUUUUGAUCAGUGUGACGUCUCCUCCUCUUCUCUUUUGGCUCACUGAUGAAUUGACUCCCAUAUUUGCCGGAAACACAAGACACCCUCUUUAUUUGUAUACACUGUAAAUAUGUUUUCCCUCUUAUUAAAAAAAGAAAUGUAUAUUGCACACAGAUGAAAGCACUUCUUACUGAUGGAGUUGGUUGCAUCCAUCAGUCCUGUUGAAAUGAGCCGGUAGCGGCUGCUUCUUGCAGACAUGGGUUUCUACAUUCUCUCUUACAAUUUCAAAACCGUUUAUUUUACGCACUGUAAAUGAUUUCCUCUUAGCAGCUACAUUUCUUUCUAGCAGAGGUUUUUAUUUCAGCAUGAAGCAGUAGGUAGUUCAUAAAAGUACUAACAUUAAAAUUUAAGAUAUUUAGACUUAAAAAGGACGAUAAAAUGUUUACAGAUAUCCUGCCUUGUCCUCCAGGUGAAAUAUUCACAUAUGUGUGUGUGUGUGUGUACAUAGAGAGAGAUUUAUGUAAAAUAUUUUUUACUCCUGCUGUACUUCUGUUCAGUGCAUGCAGCUUUUAGGGUCUUUGGGACUUGGGGUGAGCUGUGCUCCCAGUGAAACCAGAACAACUGGUGACAAUGCUGUGAAGGAUUAAGAUUUGUACAGUUUUGUUUGUUUAAUGGUGACAUGUUUUUGAUCGUUUCCUUUGUCAAGAUGCAUUUAUUGUACUGUGUUUUCUGACUGGAUAUGUUUUUACCUUGCAUGCAGUGCUAUGUUGUAUGUGUAUGUAAUAGGAGAGCUAACGCGUGAGAUGCUCCAGCCAACGACGAUAACCUUUAAUGUGACAGUUGAAUCAUUACAGUAGCAGGUCUGGCCUUUUGAGUUGCAGUAAAAUCGCUGGUUUUUCAGUGCCGGCAAACCCGUCUCGUUGGGAUGUAAACGCUGCAAAUGAAAUGGGGCUACACUGUCAACAUACCAAUUGCCUUUUGUUUUAUCUCUUUGGGUAUUACUGUGCCUCCAAAAUCAAUAGUAAAUCUUAUAAUAUAUUGA
Cololabis saira (Pacific saury) is the source of this 3511-nucleotide RNA transcript. It is a transcript of the gene named glycerophosphodiester phosphodiesterase domain containing 5b, with no coding region annotated. NCBI's taxonomy places the organism in Eukaryota, Metazoa, Chordata, Actinopteri, Beloniformes, Belonidae. The transcript has 18 exons. The record is from RefSeq and is a predicted model, not a curated record.